GUGAGGGUGAUCUGGCUGAGACGUCUGUUACCCCACGGGUCACCAGGGUUCUAUUGGCUGAUCUGGCUGGCUAGGCAGAUGUUCCCUUCUUCCGUCACCACUCCAUGUCAGUCCCUCCUGAAGCUCUGUGCUUGGUGAAGGAGGACAAGGUUCCCUAAAUAGAGGAAAACUGGUCUUCGAUCAAGGGUAUAUGAUUAGCUUUGUUCCUCUGCUAGAACCUCUAAACAUGUUCUCAAGGUCCUUUCAUUCACAGCUUAAAACAUAUCUCUCCAUAUUUCCAACUAUGAAUCUAAAAUAUGAGUUUAAGGAAACAUUUCGGAAUUU
Molecule: small nuclear RNA, 324 nt
Filed under: Neotoma lepida (desert woodrat)
Lineage: Eukaryota; Metazoa; Chordata; Mammalia; Rodentia; Cricetidae
Description: 7SK RNA
Rfam family: 7SK RNA
About the family: 7SK was discovered as an abundant small nuclear RNA in the mid-70s but a possible function has only recently been suggested.
Source: Rfam by way of RNAcentral